Long non-coding RNA from Pseudopodoces humilis (Tibetan ground-tit), 1585 nucleotides. RefSeq lists it as uncharacterized. Lineage: Eukaryota; Metazoa; Chordata; Aves; Passeriformes; Paridae. The record is from RefSeq and is a predicted model, not a curated record.
CGCGCCGCUGCGCCCCUGCGGCGCGUCCGGCGGAGCGGUGCGGCGCGACUAGCAGCGCCGAGCUGGAGGAAACGGGUUUAAAAAAGACACUGGGCCAAAUCCCCAGCUUGGCUACAACGUGUGGAAAUCUACUGAGAUGGCACGAAAGUCAGGAGAGAUUCACUGUAUUUGCACCUGGGUAAAGAGGUCUCAAGGGGCAGGGAUGUGAGAGCCAGAUUUCAGAUGGAUGAAAGGGAAUGGAAGAGCUAACUCAGAUUUCUGUAAGGAGAAACCUUUUUUUCAUUGUUUGGCUGUUAGAGGAAACAUGAUGUUUCAUGGACUCAGGACCAAAAUGGAAAAAGAGAUUUUGCAGGGAUUGGGAAGAUUUUACAAAUAAACAUUAAAAUUAAAAAAAAAAAACCCAACAAGUUCAUCCAGGUAUGAAGUCCAGCAGAAAUGGAGGAGAGAAAUGGACUGCACUGUCUGUAAAGGAUUGUGUAAGCAAGAAUGGCAAAAAGGUCUGAAUAAGUCCAUUGCAUUAAUGAUUUUCUAUACAUGACUUUCCUACACAAAGUUACAUGGGGUCAGUCUUUGGAGUUCCCCUGUAUAGCAGAGGAUCCUGAGCCUGAAAAAGGGAAGCAGAUUUUGUAAGAGAUUUGCAUAUCACGGAGUGACUCUGGAUUGCAGAUUUUAAGCAUUAAUAGAUUGGAGAAUAAAUUGUUGCUAUUGUUGUUACAUACCAGGAUAUGUACCUGAUCCACACAAUCCACUAAGCUGCUGUAGUUUUUGUCCGUGUUUAUUUUAGAUAAAAUUAUAGCCUGGACAGUUAAUUUUUCUUAGUCUGUCCAUAUAAAUCAUAUAUAAAUAAAGUAUCAAGCGGAAAUCAAAAUAUGACCUGUGUUUUUGAUACACUUCCCAUCAUGUGAGCCUGCCAGUGAUAGAGCCCUACACCUGGUUUACAAGUUGAACACAAAGGCAAUGAAAAACCACAGGUCUUCUUGAAAAGUAGCCAGUUAAAUUCUCUUGCUUUAAUGCUCUGGGUGGCCUAUUUUGCUUAUAUUUGAGACUGCCUAGCCAUUAUGGGAUUGCCUGCACCAGUCCUUUCCUUACAUCAAGCUAAUUGCAAAUUAACUUGAGGCACUUAGCAAGGCUGAGAGGCUGGAGCUGGUUCUUUCUGAGCACCGGCUGAGUUUGGAAAUGCCUGUUGCUUUACAGGGGCUGAUUCCUAAAGUGAGGGGCAAACAGAGGAACCAACCAGCCUGGAACCAAAGUGGUCAUACUGGCUUUUGGAAAAAGUGAAUGUCUCAAAUUAACUGACAGUCAGCUACCUGGAAAUAAAAACCUCUCAUAUAUCCAAAGGUUUUCGCUAGGAUUUUCAAGAUCUCCUGAGCAAUUUAAAAUCUUUGUGAUGCACUAUAGAAUGAAAAAUAUAAGUAUUAUGAAAGAAUGUCUCUGAACUGAAAGCCUGCCAGUUUCAUAAAAAUGAGCUAAAAAAGCAAUAACAGGUACUCUGUCUCCUGCUGGAUGCUAUAUGAACUGUAUAUUUUGUAUUUUGAAAGUAACUCUAAAACAAUGUUUUUUUCUUCACUAUUGCUGUUGGGAAGAA